AAGGAAGAUGAAGUCUCACCAAGAAAAAGAGAAAACACUUCUCUUACGUGAAGCACUUAAAAUUUCUCAAAAACAUCUAAUCUGAAAUUUAUUCUUCAACCUCUCCUUUAUAUAGAGUAAGAGAUUGGGCUAAAUUGGACUCUUACAAUCUGAAAUUUAAAGGACUUCUUCUCUAAUUAGGACUCCUACUUUAACAAGGACUCUUUUAAAUUUAAUUUAAACAUUUGACUUACUCAACCAAAUUUAAACUAGAUUCCUAAUAGGACUAGGACUCCUUAUGGUACAUGGAAAAGAGUCCAAAUCAACUAAAACUCUUCCUCAAAUGCCACAUGAAACAAAUCAGCAAACUCCUAAUCAAUUAAGAACUCCUCAACACCAUGGACUCAAUUAAAUUAGGACUCGGGCUCCUGCACCUUAAUUAGUGAGACUCAAAGAAAGGGAAUUUUGCUUAAAGAUCCAGUUAAGUGCAUAGAAACACUGAGACCGACAAAGAGAUGGAGAAAAUGUUGGAUUAGUGGGUUUCAAUCCAAGUUAGGAAAGAGGAG
Molecule: long non-coding RNA, 545 nt
Filed under: Phoenix dactylifera (date palm)
Lineage: Eukaryota; Viridiplantae; Streptophyta; Magnoliopsida; Arecales; Arecaceae
Description: long non-coding RNA (PDAC_LNC003700)
Source: RNAcentral